Molecule: ribosomal RNA, 369 nt
Filed under: uncultured bacterium
Lineage: Bacteria
Description: partial 16S ribosomal RNA
Rfam family: Bacterial small subunit ribosomal RNA
Source: RNAcentral
CCUACGGGAGGCAGCAGUGGGGAAUAUUGCACAAUGGGGGAAACCCUGAUGCAGCAACGCCGCGUGAGUGAGGAAGUAUUUCGGUAUGUAAAGCUCUAUCAGCAGGGAAUAGAAAAGAAGGUACCUGAAAAAGAAGCCCCGGCUAACUACGUGCCAGCAGCCGCGGUAAUACGCAGGGGGCAAGCGUUAUCCGGAUUUACUGGGUGUAAAGGGAGCGUAGACGGAAAGGCAAGUCAGAAGUGAACGCCCAAGGAGCAACCAUGGGACUGCGUUUGACACUGUCAGACGAGAGUACGGGAGAGGGAAGAGGAAUGCGUGGUGUAGCGGUGAGAUGCGUAGAGAGGAGGAGGAACGCCAGUGGCGAAGGCG